UGAAUACAAUGAUGACUGCAUAGUUCAUCAGACUAGCAAUGGUGAACAAUCUUUCGCUCCUAUCUGAUAUAUCAA
Molecule: small nucleolar RNA, 75 nt
Organism: Xenopus tropicalis (tropical clawed frog)
Lineage: Eukaryota; Metazoa; Chordata; Amphibia; Anura; Pipidae
Source: Ensembl